GCUAGUGCUGUUGUGUUACGUCUCAUGUGCUUUUCUGGCAGUCAGCACAGUGGUUGGUUUAAGGUGUCACACUUAGCAGUGGAGUUAGAGUAUAGGAGUUGGAUCCUUGACAGUGUUUAUAUUAUGUUUGUGAGUGUACAUUAUGUUAAAGAGAAAUAGGUCUUAGACAGCAGUCGUAUAGGUAGAUUUUACUUCUCUGACAGUAAAUGUGAAGUUUGUUUUUACCUCUAUGACAGUAGAUAUACAGUAAGGGUUUUUCCUCUAUGACAGUAGAUAUACAGUAAGGGUUUUACCUCUAUGACAGUAGAUAUAUAUAGUAAGGGUUUUACCUCUAUGACAGUGGAUAUACAGUUAGGGUUUUACCUCUAUGACAGUAGAUAUACAGUAAGGGUUUUACCUCUAUAACAGUAGAUAUACAGUAAGGGUUUUUCCUCUAUGACAGCAGAUAUACAGUAAGGGUUUUUCCUCUAUGACAGCAGAUAUACAGUUAGGGUUUUUUCUCUGUGACAGUAGAUAUACAGAUAGGGUUUUUCCUCGAUGACAGUAGAUAUACAGUUUGGGUUUUUCCUCUAUGACAGUAGGUAUGCAGUUUGGUUUUCCCCUCAGGCGGAUGUAUUUCGGGGAAAGGUACAAUAGCCUUGAGGUUAGAGAGCAAGGCCAGCAUCCAAACAAAUGAAAAAUGGGGAAGAGAUUUCUGUACUGGAGUUCUGUACUAUAGCUGACAUUGUGUCAAGUGUUGGGAAAGGAGGUUUUAUACAGUAUAUGGUUCUGUAGGUGUAGUAAAGGGAUUUAUGGUUGAACAUUCUGUAGGUGUUGUGAAGGCAUUUAUGGUUGAACAUUCUGUAGGUGUUUUAAAAGUAUAUAGUGUUGAAGGAUCUGUGAGUAUAGUGAAGGUAGAGGCGGGGCAUAAAUGGGUGCGAUGGGUGCACAGUACCCAUGGUAACCAGUGUUGCCAGACAAGGAGGUUUCCAGAUAUAUAGAAGAAAUAGCGUUUUUGCUGUUUUUAUGUGGAGUCUGCAGGUUGAUUGGCCAGUAUAUUGUCAGUGUAAUAGGGCAACCAUGGAUUUAACGUUGGAUCUUGUCGGCUCAUUUGCUAUGAAUUUGAACUAUGGAAGAUAGCUAGCUUAAGAAAAAUGUUAAAUGGAACAUAGAUAGGUCUUCUAAUCAGAAGAAAGAAAAGCAAUACAUAACGUUGAGCAGCAGAAGCAUGAGAAGAUUAAUAGAUCCGGCGUUACAAUGAUGGGAGCAGCAUCGCAGCUUCAAGUGCAGGAAGUGAUACUGUUAUGAUCCUGCAGCUAGCAGCAAAUUCUGUAACCGCUGGGACAUGUUGUUGUAGUCUAAUCUGCCUCUAUCUUUUAGCUGGGAAAUGAGGUAACAAUAGUAAGAUGGUAAUGGCGGAGGGAUAGGCGGGCCUCCGCGGCUGAGUUUCACACCCAUGGGAAAGAAACCUAAGCUCCGCCACUGGUAAAGGGAUUGAGUGUCUUAGUCUACAUUGUAGGGUUUUUUGGAGUGAGAUGUGUAGCGUAAAUGUUAUUGCGCUGUCGCUUGUUUAUCUUACAAUAACUAUACUGUGGUCAUCCUACUAGUCCAUGUGAGGUAUAGUAUAACUAAAUCCUCUUGUCCGUUCUGUUGUAAAACAAGAGAACCUGGCAUCCUGCACUGUGAAUGCUAUGGUUAGAUGAGAAGAGACGGCAGCACAAGUGGAUGAUGACAAGGUGUAAGUAUGGAGAAACAGAGGGAGGACGGGAUGGAGGGGAAAUUCCAAAAGCUGCAGGGAGGUAAUAUGAAUCAGUGGGCCCCUGGGACUCAUCUCAAGGAUUGGGACUGUCUUAGAGUAAUGGUUCAAAGAGACGCUUCCACUGGGGCCAGUCGGGUUGGGCAAGCAGCCUGUGUGACGCAGUUCCAGGCUGCUUCAGCAGGCUGCAGCCUCCACACUUCAAGCAGGUGUGUCUAUGAGGAGCCACACACACACACACAAACACACAGAUUUCAGAGCGUCAAUGUCUUAUUGUGUCCUUAUGCUCUGUGACACCAUUGCGUUCAUAUCUAUAUCUGUGUGUGUGUGCAUGUGCAGAGACAGAGGGCCUUAAUUCUGUUCCAUGAAUCACCACAACAUACAUUCACGGGGGGGAGGGUAGUUAUUGGGGCAGGAUGGAGAGAGUAAAACUAAGUGCUGAUGCUAUUAGCUAGACCACAAGCAUAGAGUGGAAGGAAAGUAGCGGGAGGGAGGGGUGAGAGAGAGGAAGAAAAAGAGCAGGGAAUAAGGAGAGGGCAUAAAGAGGACAGAGGACAAGGACAAGAGGACAGAGAGAAGCAGUCAGAAGGGAAGAGGGAUGGGCUCUCAUCUCACAUUGACAUUAGAAUCCGAUGUUUAUCCAUGGCUGCUCAAAAACAUAGUUUGUGGUUCUGUUGUCUAUUGGUAACUUUUAGACAAUGUUAAUUAUUUUAAAAAAGGUACAGUCUGUAUGUUGGAAGUAAAGAGGACAGUUCUUAGCUGAGUGUGGACCACCGGAGGCUCUACAGCUGCAGAACUUUACAUCCAGAUUGUAUGGUUUUUAUUCAGCGGUUGCAGACAAAUUGACCAAAUCUUUUUUUCCCAAGCAAUACGUCUAGCUUUGAUUGUCCUGAUUAGUCCUCAGCCGGCCACUACCAAUGGCUAAAUUAAGUCAUGUUUAUACUGAUUGGCGAAAGAAAAAACAAGAUGUAACAUCUGGAUGUACAAUUCAUGAAUUAACGUUAAAGCACAAGCCGGUGCAAAUGAGUGGCAUGAUGAGUUGCAUCCCAGAACUCUGCAGCUACACUAACACUAACAGGCCUUCAGGGGAAGCUAACGUGGCCAACUUUUCUUUUUUUAAAUGACCAUGAACAGGAUAUUUUACUGUCUAUUUGCUGUAUUAAUUGAGGGGGGAGCAUGCCAGGAAUCCAGCACCACGAUGAGCACUGCUCUGUCCAGUUAGGAAGGGAAGAACUGUAACUAGAUAAUGUUAGCAUUAGCAAUGGCUACUACACACUUUCUUGCCCUGGAAAAAAACCCAGAAAGCUGGGGGGGAUGAUAGCUAAUCAAACUAAUUUUACCCUAAAGUCAAUUUUGUUAAUUUUUUUAUCUCAGAAUUCCACUUCAUGUAGAACCUACCACACUUAAAUUACCAUACUUAAGUAAUUUAGCAUCUCAGUUGUUGAAUUUCAAAUUGAUUGUGGUGGCGCACCACGCCAAAAUUAUGAAAUGAGUCCAAGUAUUUCCGGAUUUAACUGUCUAUCAUAAGGAUCAGGUACUACAGUAGAGAUGUCAAAUGUAAAAUUGUUUUUUCAUAUAACAGCAAGUGAUCUCUAGUUUUUAGGUGUGUAUCGGUGCUUUAAGACACUUUGUGGAUGAAUCCCAUCAGAUUCCAAAGCCACAUGCAGAACAGCAGAAACUGGAUCACUAGCUUUACCGGGUGGGGAAAUUGACAGGUAGAUGUCAGGCCAGGUCCUGUAGUCCUGAAUCACGGUCUAGAUGUCAGGCCAGGUCCUGUAGUCCUGAGUCGUAGUCUACAUGUCAGGCCAGGUCCUGUAGUCCUGAGUCGUGGUUUAGAUGUCAGGCCAGGUCCUGAGUCAUGGUAUAGAUGUCAGGGCAGGUCCAGUAGUCCUGAGUCGUGGUUUAGAUGUCAGGCCAGGUCCUGUAGUCCUGAGUCAUGGUCUACAUGUCAGGCCAGGUCCCGUAGUCCUGAGUCAUGGUUUAGAUGUCAGGCGAGGUCCUGAGUCGUGGUCUAGAUGUCAGGGCAGGUCCAGUAGUCCUGAGUCGUGGUUUAGAUGUCAGGCCAGGUCCUGUAGUCCUGAGUUGUGGUCUAGAUGUCAGGCCAGGUCCUAAGUCGUGGUCUAGAUGUCAGGCCAGGUCCAAUAGUCCUGAGUUGUGUUGUCUAGAUGUCAGGCCAGGUCCAGUAGACCUGAGUUGUGGUUUAGAUGUUAUGCCAGGUCCUGUAGUCCUGAGUCAUGGUCUUAUUAUUCUGAUAUUACUUAACAUUGGCAGCAUAGCUCAUCAGUAUUUGUUUUAGUCAGCUUAUUAUUGGUCAUGACGGUUCCCAACUUAGGGUGGCAUUCAUUCAAGCCAGCCAUAGCAAUAUUUAUGCAGUAAAUAUUUAUCCAUCUUUGUUUACAAUCACACUGCAGCACUGUGAAAUAUAUAGUUGCAGUUAGGGUAAGAAUCAAGGUUAAGUGUUAGCACAUAGGCUUAAGAAUUUUGAAUAUGUGUUUAGUUGCCAACACAAACAGAAAACUGAAAAUCUGAGGUCACUGUUCUAGCCGAUAUUCUAGCUGAGAAAAUAAAGUAAUUUUCACCUGUCAAUGUUUUUUGUGUGUAAGUCUAAUAAGACAUCUAUUGGAUUGGUCCCCCAGAACUGUAACAUCUCCUGCCCUAGUUUCCCUCCUACAUGUUCUAAUUUCCUCUUAAAAUGUUCCAUGUUUUUGUUGGAGGUUAUGGAAAUGAUGGUGUAGUCACUGGAGAAUGGCGUGUGUGUGCUUGUGGAAGGAGGAUGAGGUGGUAAUCUAAUAAUGGCUUCAUUUAUCCUCUGGCUAAUCUGAGUGUCUGAUUAGAGAAAGAGAGCAGAGAGGAGUGUGAGAAAAAAGAGACAGCAAUCGGCCAGCAAGCAGACAAAGAAGGUAUCCAUAUACAUUAACCUAAUUUGCUCUAAGAGGAGGACCCAAAGCUGUUAGCCAUAUUUGCCACCAAGCACAAAGACUCAGUGCUAGUAGAGUAUUAUUGGAUAGAUAGGGAUGUUAGUGACAUGCUGUAUUACAAUCAGGUAACGGAAGAGGGCAACAGACAUUCUGGAUCUAGUGGGAUUCAUAUCAUGCAGGACUAGCAUGUUCUCAACAUUAUCCAGCCAAUUCAAUUCCUCUCUCUUUCUCCCUUUCUCACGUUCUUUUUGUCGCUGUCUUUGCCUGUAAUGAAUGAUAUAUUGUUUUUUUGCACAUGACUGUGUGUCUGUGUGUUUUCUUUUCCACUGACUUGUGCUCUGGCCUGAGGCUGAGCUGUCACUGGCUUUUCUGAUACAGAAGGCAGAGCAGAAGAGCGGUAGAGGAGUUGGGUAAACAAACCAAGACACAAGGAUGUGGCCCAACUGUCCUAGCAGAAGAUACCAAGGACAGCUGCAUGGAAUUCAGCAAAUUCAUCCAGAAGGACAAAUAUUUUCAUGUACUGAACUGUACAAAAGUUUAGGCCACCUGAGAAUUAAAAAUAUAUAUAUUUAAUACA
This is a long non-coding RNA of Esox lucius (northern pike), 5230 nucleotides long. RefSeq lists it as uncharacterized. The record is from RefSeq and is a predicted model, not a curated record. The transcript has 2 exons. NCBI's taxonomy places the organism in Eukaryota, Metazoa, Chordata, Actinopteri, Esociformes, Esocidae.